Molecule: ribosomal RNA, 476 nt
Filed under: uncultured bacterium
Lineage: Bacteria
Description: bacterial SSU rRNA
Rfam family: Bacterial small subunit ribosomal RNA
Source: RNAcentral
UAAACCUCUUUUAUCAAGGAAGAAGAUCUGACGGUACUUGAUGAAUAAGCCACGGCUAAUUCCGUGCCAGCAGCCGCGGUAAUACGGGAGUGGCAAGCGUUAUCCGGAAUUAUUGGGCGUAAAGCGUCCGCAGGCGGUCUUGUAAGUCUGUCGUUAAAGCGUGGAGCUCAACUCCAUUUCGGCGGUGGAAACUACAAGACUAGAGUGUGGUAGGGGCAGAGGGAAUUCCCGGUGUAGCGGUGAAAUGCGUAGAUAUCGGGAAGAACACCAGUGGCGAAGGCGCUCUGCUGGGCCAUAACUGACGCUCAUGGACGAAAGCUAGGGGAGCGAAAGGGAUUAGAUACCCCUGUAGUCCUGGCCGUAAACGAUGAACACUAGGUGUCGGGGGAAUCGACCCCCUCGGUGUCGUAGCCAACGCGUUAAGUGUUCCGCCUGGGGAGUACGCACGCAAGUGUGAAACUCAAAUGAAUUGACGG